Molecule: transfer RNA, 76 nt
Filed under: Gammaproteobacteria bacterium SG8_15
Lineage: Bacteria; Pseudomonadati; Pseudomonadota; Gammaproteobacteria
Also listed under: 1 other name
Description: tRNA-Lys
Rfam family: tRNA
About the family: Transfer RNA (tRNA) molecules are approximately 80 nucleotides in length.
Source: RNAcentral
GGGCCGUUAGCUCAGUCGGUAGAGCAGUGGACUUUUAAUCCAUUGGUCGAAGGUUCGAAUCCUUCACGGCCCACCA